CUAAACUCAUCUGCAAUAGCUUAACUUGAAGAAUUGUGUGAUACCUGCAUCACCUGAGCGCUGUGUACACACUGUGCGUCAUGCGUAAAGGGCGGGACUUGUGAGAUCUCCCAAACGGAACAGUUACGCACAGAAGCUUGAGCGACGCCGGACACACGGCAAACAUCAAGCAGGGACGUACUUUCAAAGAGCAUCUUUUAGUCCCGUUUGAACUUGUUCUUAAACAUGUCUUUGGGCGACCAGCAGUGGUAUCCCACCAGCGUUCAGGUAACCGUGCUCAAAGCACGAAACCUACGUAUCAAGGGCAAAAAUGGAACGAACGACGCCUAUGCCAUCAUGCAGGUGGGCAAGGACAAGUUUUCCACCUCGGUAGCGGAGAAAUGCGUCUCGCCGGAAUGGAAGGAGGAAGCGACGUUCGAUUUGCCGCUGGUCCAUCAGGAUAACGUAGAGCGAUGCACGCUGUACAUCAUCGCCAUGCACCGAGCCCUGGUGGGGCUAGACAAGUUUUUGGGGCAGGCUGUCAUCAAUUUAGUGGACCUCCACGCCAACAGAUCACGCAAGAAAACCGACUGGUAUAAGCUGGUGGAUAAACAUGGGAAGCAAGAGAAGGACCGUGGGGAAGUUAUGCUGGACAUUCAGUUCAUGAGGAAUAACAUGACAGCCAGCAUGUUUGACCUCUCCAUGACAGAGAAGCCUCGCUCUGGAAUCGCUAAGCUCAAGGAUAAAAUUCGUGGAAAGAAGAAAGAUGGCCUGUCAGAUUCUGCCUCUGCGAUUGUGCCCUCGUCAGUGGGAACUGACAGUGAAGGAGAAGGAGAGGGCAGUUUUGACUCCCCGAAGAAGAAAUCAAAGCUGAAAUCCCUGUUUGGGCCAAAAACAAACCUCCAAAAGAAUGUGUCCCAGUCCAUGUCAACCCUCGGCACCCUACCUGAGAAGAACAGUUCACUUAGCAGCAGCAGAUCGUCAGGCCUUAAUGUGGAUUCUCCUGAUGUGAAAAAGAAGUUUAAAAUUCUGGGACACAAACGCACCGACAGCUCGGAUAGCAAAGUGUCACUUGGCCCCUUUUCUCUUCUGAGCCGCUCUAAACAGAACAUCCAGGAGCAGAAUAACCUCUGUAUCAAUGGCAGCCACGUUUAUGCAGAAGAUCAAGAACCCAAAGCCAGCUUUGGCUCCACGCUCAGCCUGAACAGCUCCGGAAAAGGUUCAGUAGAGGAUGUUCGUAAAUUCCAUCAACGGAAUAUGUCUGACGUCUCCAUUGACUCAUUAAAAGGCCUAAGUAUUCCCUCGUACAAGCCUGAAGUGCAAGACAAAACUGUCCCACAGCGCCCUCUGGAGGACAAAAACCUCAACUUGCAUCCUGUGAAGGUGCUGGAGGAGGAGAAAGAAAAGAAACCUGAAGGAAGAAGCCUGCAAGAGAUGCUGGACCGGCAGGAGGAACAAGAGCAAUGGAGGCAGCAGGAACGAGAAAGGAAGCAGGAGGAAGAGAGGAAAGAGCAGGAGAGGAAGCGCAGAGAAGAGGAAGAGCUGCAGAGGAAGAGACGAGAAGAGGAGACUCGGCAUACUGAGGAGCAGCGGCACCAGGAGGAGAGCAGAGUAACUGAGCGGCUCUCCUCGCUCUUUGGCAUUGGAAGGAAAAAGGAGGAGAAGAAAGAAGGGUCUGGUUCUCCAGCUAUGAAUGAAGCCAAACAUCUGAAUGUGUCCUCCUCCACAAACCCCUUUGAAGACAUUCCCCUCACCCCAGAUACUUCAGCUUCUUUGCCAGAAGAGAGAUCCACAGACCCUCGGAGGGGCAUCAGGGGCAUUACCCCAACACCACCCGCUAGUGCUUUCCCUAGCCGCACAGCAAAAGUGUCCGCUGUCAAGCCAAGAUUGGCUCUGAAUGUAUUGCCUGAAACGCAUAAUAGCCUGUCCCAAUCGCCCUCAAACUUUGUAAACACUCAGAGCACGAUCCACGCUUCUCCAGUUUCCUCAUCCCUUUCUACUGAUCCAUUUGAGUCUCUUGGUAUGUUUUCUGAUCUUCAUUCUUCUCUGGCACCACCUAAACCUCCGAGAAGUUUCAGCGAGUCAAUUGAAUCCAAUAUGGAAAACCUCUCUGCUCCCAAAUCUGAGAAGCGACAGGCUCCCCUUCCCCCUGGUUAUACUGGGGGCUCAUCCAGUGCUAGAAAUGGUGGGCAGGACUCCAAAAAUACUCAAAGGCCUCCUCUUCCUCUCCCUGACUAUGAAACACUUUUUCCCAAGAAGAGGCAUGGGGUGAUGAGUCAAACACGUUGGGAUCAUAUUAUCGCAGAGGUAAACCAGAGAAACUGGGAUUUUUCAGAAGAGGUGAAUGUAGAUGGACCAAACAAAUCAUUGUCGAAUUCAUCUGCAGUUUUAAAAGACAGAACCUCAUCCAACAUUAACCAGCAUCAAAGAAUCAUGAGCCUCUUCCACCUGCCCUUACGAGGCCCAAAGAAGCCCUCAAGCCACCAAAAGUUCAUGAAACUUCAGAACCAACGUUUAAGACCACUGUCCAACAUGACAAUUUCAAUGAGUCUUUAUAUGCUACAGUUAAUAAACCUGGAAAAUCGAAGAACUUGGAAAGCAACCCAUAUCCAACUGUCCAACAUUUACCUCAGGAUAUGGAAAGCAAGAGUCCUGAUGGCAUUACCCAUCAAACCUCCUAUUCAAAAGAUAAGCCUAUGCCAGCCUCCAGGACCAAACAAAAUAUCAAUUUAAAGACUGAAGAUGUGGCUAAACAGAUGCCUUCAGCCAAACCCAGACAACAGUCAUUAGUCAAGGACCCAGUCAGACAAGUUCAACCAGACCAGCAUGUGACAACUCGGCCCGUGACAUCAGAAAAUAACAAAGCUGAGAAAUCGGAGAAGGGCCAAAAGGGAAGUGUUUCUACAAAUAAGUUUAUUGAACCAGUCCACCUCAAAACAUCAGACAUUCCAGAAGAUCUGGCAAAACUUUCUAAGGAUCCCGAGGGAAGUGGAAUGAUCAACUCAUACCCAAGUGAUAUACCACAGCAAACCACAGAUGAGGAGGAUGUGCUCUUCACUAAAGGCUUAACAAAGUUGAGAAGUCUUGAAGAUCAAGAGUCAUCCUACAAUAAAAACCUAGCAAAAAAGGAGAACAGCAUGGCACCAAAAUCAGAGUCUGAAAAACAAGCUCCGAGCUUUACCGAACAAGCUAGAGCCACAUUUCAGAGAAAUUUUUCACUUAGAAAGAAAAAUCCAUCUCAUCUUUACGCAACCCCUGGGAAAGCUAGUCCUGAGAAUAGUAGUUUGGGUAGAUCAAUUUCUCAGUCUUCGCAAGAUGCUGAAGAUGUUGAGAUGACUGUAACUAGUAUUGCUUCAUCAAGCAGAACCGAGACCAUGCCAGAAAUGACUCCAACUGGGGGCAAGACUGCACUCCGUGCUUGGGUCUCACCUUCAGAAUCUCAGACAUAUACAUUGCAGAGUGGUAGUGGAAAUGCAGUUUCUAGUUCAAAAAGGCCGCAUCCAGUGAAACCCAUGAGCACAACGGAGAACCAGAGUCCCAGUGUUCUUGCUGUGGGGAAAGAACCAAAGACUAUCACCAUCAAG
This is an RNA transcript of Danio aesculapii, 3563 nucleotides long. It is a transcript of the gene named RAB11 family interacting protein 1 (class I) a, with no coding region annotated. The transcript has 5 exons. Lineage: Eukaryota; Metazoa; Chordata; Actinopteri; Cypriniformes; Danionidae. The record is from RefSeq and is a predicted model, not a curated record.